Gambusia affinis (western mosquitofish) is the source of this 6358-nucleotide RNA transcript. It is a transcript of the gene named LIM and senescent cell antigen-like-containing domain protein 1, with no coding region annotated. The transcript is spliced from 8 exons. Lineage: Eukaryota; Metazoa; Chordata; Actinopteri; Cyprinodontiformes; Poeciliidae. The record is from RefSeq and is a predicted model, not a curated record.
UCGGUCAAGCCACAACACUUCCGGUUCAUGUUAGAUUCAGUCAUUAGCUGCUUUACAGCUGCUAACUACGUUGUUUGUUUGUUUUUUUUACACAAACAAUAUAAUACAUUUUCAUAGAAAUCAUUUUGUUUUACGAAUGAAUAAACAGGAAGUCUUAAAGGUUGAUAGUCUAAAACAGACCUUGUUCAGAUAUUUUGGCCAGAAUGAAAGUGCACUUUGUACCAAAUGUGAGAAACCUUUCCUCGGUCACCGCCAUUACGAGAGAAAAGGUUUGGCUUACUGUGAGACGCAUUACAAUCAGCUCUUUGGGGACGUGUGUUAUCACUGCAACCGUGUGAUUGAAGGCGAUGUUGUGUCUGCUCUCAACAAAGCCUGGUGUGUCAGUUGUUUCUCCUGCUCCACCUGCAACACCAAGCUCACUCUCAAGCAUUGAUUGCAGGAGAGAUGGCAGUUUGUUCACCUUGAUCUCUUACCUGGAAUCCUGACCUGCUCUGGAGCAGCAGCUACCAUGAUGGCAAACCCAGAAGAAUUAACACAGAUCUUAAGGCAACAGGGGUUCAAACCAGGUAAACUGUCCCUGUAAUGACAAGUAAGUGACUAUGGUUAGAUACAUUUGUAAAAUGUAAAAACAGACAUUUUUCAGAAGCUGUGAAUAAAUACAGUGGCUGACUAAUGAGGUGCAUUGACUUAAAUGAAGAAGCUUUCUGUAAAAUACUGAUAUAAUCUGUUAGAAUUAUUAUAAUUGGAGAAAUUAAUAUUGUGGGAAGGUGAACCACCAGCUUCCCACAGGUGGGAGUAGGGAGAUCCAGAUCCACACUAGGAUGGACGGAGAGUGAUUUGCAGGUGAAGAUGAGGAGCAGAAGUUCUUACUGUUAAUGGAGAUGACACAUGUCUGUGGAGGAGAUGGUGAUGGAAGGUUUGACAGGCAGGCAGAGCUUGAUCCCCCUUCAAGCUUGAUCCCCCCCAAGGCAGAGCUUUGGGGGAUCAAAGAUUCCUCCAGAGUCAAAGACAGGAUCAAAGAUAGGAGGAGUCUGAGAAACCCUCAGACUCCUCCUGUUCACGUAGGAGUUGUCUGCGGAGUGGAAUGGGGACAAGGAGGAAGCCGGAGGGAAUGUUGAAGCAGCAAGCGGUGACGAGGAACUGGAACCAGGAACUCCUGAGAAGAUUCUCAACAGAGAAACCAACUGCAAAGAAGAACAACGAGGUGCAAAGUAAAUAUUGGGCUAGCUGCUCCUCUAGAUACUCCUCCUGGUUGCCACCUGAUGAACUCCAAUCCUGCUUGUCGCACCCUGCAAAAGGAGAAGGUGGGAUGCCUCUGAAGAGUUCUCUGGAAGGCAUCUGGCUUCACAUGUACCUUUUCAGCUGUUGCCUCAUAAUGUGGAAGAGCUAUGAAUCUAUUCUAAACUCCGCCUUGGCCAAACUCCUCAGUGUGCCCUCAAUAAUUCCAUUCUGAUGGAAAUUUGUUUAGUUAUUUAGACCUAAGAAAUUUGAGUGACUUUCAGAGUGACCCUGCAAAAGUGUUAUUACAUUCCAACAAGAAGCUUCUAUGUUUGUUAUUGUGAUUUUAUGUGAUAGAGCCUCAAAAAGGAGUGUAUAACUGAGAAAUGAAAGAAAAUUACAAAGAAAAAUCAGAAAAGUGUGCAUGCUUGUGAGAAAACUAUAUUUAUGUUCUACCCCCUUUACAACUGAUAAAAUCCAGCGGCACCAAAUGUCUUCAGAAGUUAUAACUAGUAAGAAAAAAAGUGCGUAACUGGGUGAUGACAGUUGUUCAAUGAAGGCCUCAAUGGUUGUUGAACACUGCAGAUGAAGUUGUGGAAAAGUUUAAAACAACAAUACCUUAUAUGGUUAUGCGUUAAGCUUUGAGCUUUUCAUGCAUCUACGCUCAAUCCGUCCUCUAAGACAAUGGAAAGAAUAAGACACAAAUGUAAACUUAUCAGGACAUGGACAUCUACCUAAACUUACAAUCUUAGCAAUCAGAAAAUCAACUAACAGGCGUGUAGAGUAGCAAAGAUCAGUAGUUGUUGGAGAAUCCUUUGACAGGAUAACCUCAUGCCUCUACUAAUCCAGCCUUCAUCGCAGAGUGUUGAGAAGUGGUCCAUAAGAGGUCCCAUAGGUGAACACAUGAACACAUGAAUACAUGUAAAAAAAGAUAAUCUGGUUAUAUGAGACUGAAUAAAACUAGACAAAUAAAACAUGGUGGUGGCAGUAUUAUGCUGUGGGGGUGUUAGCUUUGUGAAAAUUAUUGAUGUUAAGUUAGCCAGUUAAAUCUGUGACCAAGAAAACCCCCUGAUACGCUGAAACACACCAGAAACAAAUUGGACUCAUUUAAAUAAAUAUUUUCACUUGACCACUUUGUUUUCUUGGUCAAAGGAAAGAGUCAAAUAAACACUUUUCAUAAUUCUGUAGCUUAUAGUUGAACAUUAGGACAAUGUGCUGCAUCCUGAAAUAGGAGAUACGACCAAAAACAAUUGGAAGCUCUUUCAGCAAACCACUGGUAAUGGAUCAUUGAAACAGAAACAGAUUAGCAGCUAAAAAAAGCUCUUAUAAUAUAGGUAGAACGUGCCAAAGUGGUUUAUAGUAAUCAAAAAUGAUCAAAAAUGAGUGUUUCUUGGCCGAAGCUUAAAAGCCACACAUGUUAACUGUAGCAUGUGGUGAAAACCUCACUGUGUCAUGUCCUCUGACUCCCCUGUUGCCUGUCUCUCUUUGAGCUUUCUAACUUUCUUAAUAAGCAUGUCCUGCUGUAAUCACCAUAAUAUAUUAAGCAUAAUCAGGUGUGCUAAUGAGGUCGUAAUUAUAAUAAUUCACGCAUUAAUUAGCUAAUAUUUCUCUGUCAGCGCAUAACUUUAACCAGCCAACAUAAUUUGUAAUGGCGGAACCAAAAUCACACACACCUGUGCCAGGGAAAAAUGGAAGCAGCACUGCCUUCAUGAGGCUAAAGUAAAGGAUCAAGGUUAUGGGUCAUUCAUCAUCUAAUGAUCAUAGUGACACUCUUGCAAAAAUGUGUAUUGAAUGCAAUCAUGAUGCUGGAAUUUAGGAGUCAAUAUUUAGUGGGUCCUGAGUACAAGGAAAUUAUCUAAUAUAUUCUUUGCAUUAUAAAAUGUGCUCCAUAUCAAUUUCUGUUUUAGCGGGAUACUGAAGUGUUUGGAUAAAUGUGAUGUCAGUGUUCUAAUUAGAUGUUUCCACUCUUCCCAGAUGAUGGAUAAACACUUAAAUGUAUGUUUUAACCAUGGCAAAGUUAUGUUACUACCAUCCUCUGGUGUUCAUGGGUUAGUGCUUAUCCCACCCAGCAUGAACUUAAGUUGCUGUUUGCUCCCUUCUACCCAUUAUGGCUUGAUUGGUCUAACCGCUGCAUUUGGGUGGGGUAGACUCCACAUUCACAUCAUGGCAUCCGACAGACUGAUGGAAUCACACAGUGGUUUUCUCUUAACUGGAUCAAAUUUUAUGCAGAUUAAUAUUUGCCAAUGUUGUAUUGAAAACAAUAUUGUUCAGCCAAUCACACUCGUUACAAUAGGCGUCAUAAGGUUGAUUAUGCAAAUCUGAGUGUGCCCAACACUGAUUGGCUCUUGGCUCUCAAACCACAGACGGCGGAUUGGUGGCUGGCCUGUCGGAGAUGACGGCUAUAAAAGACAUUGACAGACUUUCUGCCAUCCGCCUUCUGCCUCUCCCAAGCAACCACACUGUUUGUUCCUGUGUUGGUUUGCGAUGGAAAAUAAGACAAAGUCCAGCCAUUGUAGAGCUCUAAAUCUUUGCUUUUUAAUGCAGUUCUUUGGACAUUGCACUACAGUUCUCAAACUGACAAGCCUUCCAAACAACAGGAGGGAGCGUCCCCUCUGAUUCAAACCACCUGGCUUUUAAAGCAUGGCCAGGACUAAUUAAGGGGUGGAGACAACAAUUACAUUUCCAGGUAGAAGAAAGAACAAACAUUUGUGCUAAACAAUAUUCCUAACAAUUUAACAUAAACAAAGACAAGCUGGGACCAAACAAAAGUAAAAAAAAAAAACAACAAACAUCUCUCCUCCUUCUCAAACAAUGGACCUUCCCAGUAAGGUAGAUUGGAAACACCAGGUCCUAGUCAGCACUGCUCAUGGGCGCGCCUCCAUGGCAACACAUGACCUCAAAGAAAAGAGAGGAUGAUCAAAACAAAAUAUUAAGUAAAGCAACAAUACAGGAAGCACAAAAAAUAACAACACCUGUAAUGGAGGCGGUAAAUCCCUCACAUCCUGGUAAACACCCUUCCUUGCAAAAGUUCAUUAAAGAGUUCACUGGAGUGAACUGCCUUUUAUUUUUGCUCUUUUCUCAUGUUUAUCUUAUUAAGGGAGGUAGAUUUUUGUCAUUUUAUUUACUUUCAAAUAGGUAAGUUUUGGUGAAUAUUUCAUCCUUUACAUAAAUAUGUUUAUAAGAUGUUCAGAACUGUGUGUGUUGGCUGCUUGAGAUCUGAGGAGGAUGGAUCCUUCAUGCUAAGAUCUGGCUACCCAUAGGCAGGUCUUGGAAUGCUACAGAUCUCAACAUGACCAUUAAAAGUUAGCAAUAGAUACAUUACCUGGAAUUGAUUUCAUAUUAAUUUCUUACUGUUGAAAUGUUUAUAUAUUUUCUAGAAAUAAAAGAUAAAUUCUCAGAUAUUUUAUUGUGUUUUAAAACUUGGAAAAAACCUGAGAAAGUACCUUGGAGGCAUAUCUUGAUAAAGUUAAUCAGCUGUUGAAAAAAAUUUUCCAACAGUUGUGAGGGGAUUAUCUUGUUGUUGCUAAAACACAAUAUUCUGUAUCUGAAACUAUAUUGUUCCUGUUCCAUUUUUGCUUUCAAAGUACAGUAAGCUGUUUUAUCAAAGCACUUUUUGGUGCCCUUUAUUCCACAGGCAAUGGCCAUGUGAUGUGGACAAAGGUGGCAUGGCCCCUCUGACUGGUCUUCUGCAAUAGAGCAAACAUACACAAUAAACUGUGGCACAUUUCUUUCUCACACCUGUUUUUCUCAGAACCAGCAUUGACUUCUUCUGAAUUUUGAGCAACAGCAGCUCACCAGUUGGCCAUCUGGGCAUUGGAAGCUGGUCAGAAAAUGACUGGACAGGAUGAAAAAGUUUCUAACUUCCAAGAACAAAUAUUAAAUACGUGUCAGAAAGUCUGGAGAACUAUUGAUCGUUCACUUUUAAAAGGGCAUAAUAAAGUUGGGUUCCUUGGAAGCAAUUUUAUAUAAAGCGAUUAAACCCGUGCAUACUAUAUUUGUAACUGUGUCUGUCUUCCACAUAAAGUCUAUCGUUUCUAAUUAAAAUACAGAACAUUUGUCAUUCAGUAAACAAACAUGUUUUCAGGAGAGUACACAGAGUACAAAGGGAGCAGGAAUCAUGUGUGACAUCUGAUGUGCUCAUUUUUCAGCAAUGUCUCACAUUCAGACACUAAUCCCUGCAAGCUGGCCAGUGCAACGACAGCCCCAAAGCGUUGGCCAACACACGGACAUGAUUUGGUUUUCAUGUGGGCCUUGCCUUUGGGAGAAGCUCAACCGGAAAAUCAAUUUCUCAUAAUUACGAGAGAGAAUUAAUGUCCAUAAUUCACUGAGCGGCGCUAUAAGACACAGACUGUGAAAGGCCUGAUAAGCCUUUGCAGGGCUGUCGAUUGAAAAUAUUGAUUAGGUGUUUACAUACAUUUCAUAACUCCUCUGUUUGGUAUAGUAUGGAUACCAGGGGGUUGACAAUAAACUCAAAGCCCUAAGAAAGGGAGAAAGGUGUAGUCGCUUGUGGUUUUCUCAAUUUGUUUUCACCUGGGACAGAAAAAUCCAUGGUUCAAAAAUGUAAAUCCUGAAACAUCAAUAUUGAGCUAUGACUCAAUCUCCUCGGAGCAGUAACUAUAAUCAGAUUAAAUUUUUCCAGUUACAUUUUUUAAUCUCAUCUCAUUACAGAAUCAAAGGUUUGCAUUCAAAAUGUCUGCAGCAAACAUCAGUGUCAUGUUUAUUCAUGUGAGCCCUGAGCCAAACCGAAUGGGCCAUCGAUCAACACUCUUCAGACAGCCACGUCUGUCUUCUCUGCCCUCUUUUUCUUUUUUUUUUUCAUGUUGCCCAACACCUCUUACCUCCACCAGAGAGCAGAGUCCGUUUACUGAUGCACGAAGCCACAAAGGGGCUCCACAGAAAACAAGCGCUGCCACCCCACAACUCUCGUUGUUGCUGUCAUGGAUCAUCAAGAAUUCAUUGUCAUUACUUCCCCUGUUACACACAAUAAUAGAGCAGACAGGGGUGCUAGUUUUGAUUGGUAGUUAAGACACAUUGUGCUCAGAACACCUGCUGACUGAUAAUUGUGCAAACUUUGCAAGACCGAUACAAUCAUACUUUGUUGCUGUGCUCACUGUCACGCGUGCAGUCAGUCAUGGUUAGA